AUUGAACGCUGGCGGCAGGCCUAACACAUGCAAGUCGAACGAGUGGCGGACGGGUGAGUAAUGUCUGGGAAACUGCCUGAUGGAGGGGGAUAACUACUGGAAACGGUAGCUAAUACCGCAUACCAUCGGAUGUGCCCAGAUGGGAUUGGCUAGUAGGUGGGGUAACGGCUCACCUAGGCGACGAUCCCUUGCUGGUCUGAGAGGAUGACCAGACACACGGGAACUGAGACACGGUCCAGAUUCCUACGGGAGGCAGCGUUGGGGAAUAUUGCACAAUGGGCGCAAGCGUGAUGCAGCCAUGCCGCAUGUAUGAAGAAGGCCUUCGGGUUGUAAAGUACUUUCAGCGAGGAGGCGUUACUCGCAGAAGAAGCAGCGGCUAACACCGUGCCAGCAGCCGCGGUAAUUC
RNAcentral lists this ribosomal RNA (406 nucleotides) under uncultured bacterium. RNAcentral's name for it is "partial 16S ribosomal RNA". It matches the Rfam family "Bacterial small subunit ribosomal RNA", at positions 30 to 526 of the family's 1533-position model. The record is from RNAcentral.